RNAcentral lists this ribosomal RNA (454 nucleotides) under uncultured bacterium. RNAcentral's name for it is "partial 16S ribosomal RNA". It matches the Rfam family "Bacterial small subunit ribosomal RNA", at positions 28 to 507 of the family's 1533-position model. The record is from RNAcentral.
GAUGAACGCUGACAGAAUGCUUAACACAUGCAAGUCAACUUGAACUUCGGUUUGGGUGGCGGACGGGUGAGUAACGCGUAAAGAACUUGCCUCACAGAUAGGGACAACGUUUGGAAACGAAUGCUAAUACCUGAUAUUAUGAUUAUAUGGCAUCGUAUAAUUAUGAAAGCUAUAUGCGCUGUGAGAGAGCUUUGCGUCCCAUUAGCUAGUUGGAGAGGUAACGGCUCACCAAGGCGAUGAUGGGUAGCCGGCCUGAGAGGGUGAUCGGCCACAAGGGGACUGAGACACGGCCCUUACUCCUACGGGAGGCAACAGUGGGGAAUAUUGGACAAUGGACCAAGAGUCUGAUCCAGCAAUUCUGUGUGCACGAUGAAGUUUUUCGGAAUGUAAAGUGCUUUCAGUUGGGAAGAAAAAAAUGACGGUACCAACAGAAGAAGUGACGGCUAAAUACGUG